UCUGAACUCCAGAAGACUAAGAUGCAGCACUGGGAACCAAGAGAAAGCAUCCUGCCAAAAUGGAGAGCACCCCGGCUGUCUGAGGCUCCAGUCCAAAUCCUGGCAUUAUCAGAUUGGCUCAUCUCGGGUCAUCCUCCUGCAUCUGAACAAUCUCAGAGGCCAGGGGAUGGGGUCCUUCUGAGGGGCUGGAUGUUUAUGUCCCUCCAAAAUUCAAACGUUGAAACCUAAUUUCCAAUGUGCUGGCAUUUUGGAAGUGGGACCUUUGGGAGGUGAUUCGGUCAUGGGGUGGAGCCCUCAUGCAUAGGUUUAGUGUCCUUAUAAAAGGGACCAGAUUGCUCCCGUGUCCCUUCCACCAUGUGAAGACACAGCAGGAAGAUGGCCAUCUAUGAACAGGAAGUGGGUUGGGACCUUGAUCUUGGACUUCCAGCCUCCGGAACUGUG
Eptesicus fuscus (big brown bat) is the source of this 441-nucleotide long non-coding RNA. RefSeq lists it as uncharacterized. The transcript has 3 exons. The record is from RefSeq and is a predicted model, not a curated record. Lineage: Eukaryota; Metazoa; Chordata; Mammalia; Chiroptera; Vespertilionidae.